RNAcentral lists this long non-coding RNA (651 nucleotides) under Homo sapiens (human). RNAcentral describes it as "HSALNT0147848". Lineage: Eukaryota; Metazoa; Chordata; Mammalia; Primates; Hominidae. The record is from RNAcentral.
UCCACCUCUUGGUUUGAUGCAGAUUACUUCACUUGCUUUGGAGGGUCACCAGUACCACGGUUCCUUUUCCUAUUCCAUCUGCUGGCUGGACGCCUAGUCAUUUGACAGUUACCCUUCUACUAAGGAUGAAGUCUCCUCUUGCCAGAAAAACUUCUGUGACCCUCUAGAGUUGGAAAAAAAACAAAGGGUAAUAGACAGCAAUGACAACAAAAACCCCAAACACGUAUUUUUGCCUACACUUUCUAGGUCAAUGGAAAAAAGAGUAAAAAAAAUUUAGCUACAUUCUAUUUGAUUAAAUGUUUUGAAGAGAAAGGAAGUGGAAGAAAAAAAAUAGUAUGGGGACCUGGACAGAAAGAUAAGACAAUAGACACACAAAACAGAGAGAUAAAUAGAAAGGAUGUAGAGGUUUAUCUGAUUCUGCAGGAUAUGUUAAUUAGUUUUUAUGUCACUCUCUGCUAGUUCUUUAACUGGGUCACAGAAUAUUUAUCACCUUAAAACACUAUUCUUUGAAACUGCUAAUCAAUCAAUUAACCACUGUUCACAGCUCUUUAGCUGCUACUUACCUGCUAGAAAGGAAUUUUUCCAGAAAAGUUUCUAUCCAUUUUUGUUUAUGACUGCAUUUUUGUGCCCAGUACUUCUGGUUUAUGUUAG